This 504-nucleotide ribosomal RNA is filed under the name uncultured Chloroflexota bacterium. RNAcentral's name for it is "bacterial SSU rRNA". It matches the Rfam family "Bacterial small subunit ribosomal RNA", at positions 8 to 524 of the family's 1533-position model. Lineage: Bacteria; Bacillati; Chloroflexota. The record is from RNAcentral.
AGAGUUUGAUCCUGGCUCAGGAUGAACGCUAGCGGCGUGCUUAAUGCAUGCAAGUCGAACGGUCAAGAAAUGUCCGCAAGGAUGUUUCGAGAUAGUGGCGAACGGCUGAGUAACACGUGAGUAACCUGCCCUCUGGUGGGGAAUAACAUGCCGAAAGGCAUAUUAAUACCGCAUGGUCUUAUUAUCAUGCGUGGUAAUAAGUAAAGCCUUGUGCGCCAGUGGAGGGGCUCACGACCUAUCAGGUAGUUGGUGAGGUAACGGCCCACCAAGCCAAAGACGGGUAGCUGGUCUGAGAGGAUGAUCAGCCAGACGGGGACUGAGACACGGCCCCGACUCCUACGGGAGGCAGCAGCAGGGAAUAUUGCGCAAUGGGCGAAAGCCUGACGCAGCGACGCCGCGUGAAGGAUGAAGACCUUCGGGUUGUAAACUUCUUUUACUGGGGAAGACAAUGACGGUACUCAGUGAAUAAGCAUCGGCUAACUACGUGCCAGCAGCCGCGGUAAU